GCCAAGGUGGCAGAGUGGUAAUGCAGCGGCCUGCAGACCAAGAAUAAAUGAGAAAGCAGUCAGCCGCCUUUCCCCGGUUCAAAUCCGGGCCUUGGCU
RNAcentral lists this transfer RNA (97 nucleotides) under Candidatus Methanohalarchaeum thermophilum. It matches the Rfam family "tRNA". From Rfam's summary of the family: Transfer RNA (tRNA) molecules are approximately 80 nucleotides in length. The record is from Rfam by way of RNAcentral. Lineage: Archaea; Methanobacteriati; Methanobacteriota; Methanonatronarchaeia; Methanonatronarchaeales; Methanonatronarchaeaceae.